ACAGCCGCCGCUCGCGUCCCCGCAGCGCAUGACCGCGGCACUGCGGCUGCAGGGCUCUCUCCCCCGCCCGCGCCGGAUUCCUGGAGCAAGGGGGUGGGGGGCUUGGAGGUGCAGGACCCAUCAUUCCGACACGCGCCGCGACGCCAGGAGUCGGGGAUGACGCCCCUGCUCCCUCCCCUCGUUCCUGUUUCUCGGAGUUUUUCGACCCCUGAGCGCGUCGCUGAGUCACCUUCCCGGAACGCGCUCGGGACGCUCUGGACCCAGCGGGGACUGCCCGGGCGCCGCGCAAGGCGAAGGCGCACCCGCCGAUACGCGCGCGGAGCUGCGGCCCUAGGGACCCCGCGUCCCAGCCUGUGCCCCCCGACCCGCCCGGGGACUCUCGGGUCCCGCCCGUCUGACCCCCCAAGUGUUGGGAAACGGGGCCGAGCUGCCUGGGUCCUCCGGAAGAGAAGACACCGCGGAGGCGUGCCGGAGUUCAGGGCGCCGCCCGGCUAAUUGGCUGCGUGCUCCUCCUGGACCUGCCUCUUCUCGACUUUAAGAAGCGAUGAGAAAGGUCCAGCCGCCGCAGGGAAUGACGCCGGUGCUCCUACAGCCACGGCUCCGGGCGGGGAAGGCGAGCCCCACAGCCGGCCCUGCGACGCCCGCCUGGGCAGCACCGAUAAGGAGCUGAAGGCAGGAGCCGCCGCCACGGGCAGCGCCCCCACAGCGCCAGGGACCCCCUGGCAGCGGGAGCCGCGGGUCGAGGUUAUGGAUCCAGGUUUGUGGGGUUCCUGCUGGGAAGGGCUGUAGGGGGAUUCCUGUUCCUCGCCAGGAAUGAUGGAACGCCCAGCUGGACGAAAGGGGCUGUGGACGAUCGGGAGAAACAUUAUCCCUCACGAGGCCAGAAGCCGGCCGAAUCUGAGCCAAGGAAGGGGGUGGCAGGGGCGCCGCGUCCCCACCCCAGGUCUCCCAGCAAAGGCCGCUCCUCUGGCCAGGGUCAAUUACCGGGGUGUUGCGGGCACCAAGUUCCCACACUAGUGCCCCAUUGUUACCCGUGGCCCCCUAGUGGUCGGUUGCGGACGUGGCCUCUUUGGUUUUGUUUUCUCAGCGGGCGGCCCCCGCGGCGUGCUCCCGCGGCCCUGCCGCGUGCUGGUGCUGCUGAACCCGCGCGGCGGCAAGGGCAAGGCCUUGCAGCUCUUCCGGAGUCACGUGCAGCCCCUUUUGGCUGAGGCUGAAAUCUCCUUCACGCUGAUGCUCACUGAGCGGCGGAACCACGCGCGGGAGCUGGUGCGGUCGGAGGAGCUGGGCCGCUGGGACGCUCUGGUGGUCAUGUCUGGAGACGGGCUGAUGCACGAGGUGAGGACCGCACUGCGCGGCUAGGCCUGGGGCUUGGCGCGGUGCGUCCCAGGCUGAGGCCACGUGUGCUUCAACAGGUGGUGAACGGGCUCAUGGAGCGGCCUGACUGGGAGACCGCCAUCCAGAAGCCCCUGUGUAGCCUCCCAGCAGGCUCUGGCAACGCGCUGGCAGCUUCCUUGAACCAUUAUGCUGGUUAUGAGCAGGUCACCAAUGAAGACCUCCUGACCAACUGCACGCUAUUGCUGUGCCGCCGGCUGCUGUCGCCCAUGAACCUGCUGUCUCUGCACACGGCUUCGGGGCUGCGCCUCUUCUCUGUGCUCAGCCUGGCCUGGGGCUUCAUUGCUGAUGUGGACCUAGAGAGUGAGAAGUAUCGGCGUCUGGGGGAGAUGCGCUUCACUCUGGGCACCUUCCUGCGUCUGGCAGCCCUGCGCACCUACCGUGGCCGACUGGCCUACCUCCCUGUAGGAAGAGUCGGUUCCAAGACACCUGCCUCCCCCGUUGUGGUCCAGCAGGGCCCGGUAGAUGCACACCUUGUGCCACUGGAGGAGCCAGUGCCCUCUCACUGGACAGUGGUGCCCGACGAGGACUUUGUGCUAGUCCUGGCACUGCUGCACUCGCACCUGGGCAGUGAGAUGUUUGCUGCACCCAUGGGCCGCUGUGCAGCUGGCGUCAUGCAUCUGUUCUACGUGCGGGCGGGAGUGUCUCGCGCCAUGCUGCUGCGCCUCUUCCUGGCCAUGGAGAAGGGCAGGCAUAUGGAGUAUGAAUGCCCCUACUUGGUAUAUGUGCCCGUGGUCGCCUUCCGCUUGGAGCCCAAGGAUGGGAAAGGUGUGUUUGCAGUGGAUGGGGAAUUGAUGGUUAGCGAGGCCGUGCAGGGCCAGGUGCACCCAAACUACUUCUGGAUGGUCAGUGGUUGCGUGGAGCCCCCGCCCAGCUGGAAGCCCCAGCAGACGCCACCGCCAGAAGAGCCCUUAUGACCCCUGGGCCGCGCUGUGCCUUAGUGUCUACUUGCAGGACCCUUCCUCCUUCCCUAGGGCUGCAGGGCCUGUCCACAGCUCCUGUGGGGGUGGAGGAGACUCCUCUGGAGAAGGGUGAGAAAGUGGAGGCUAUGCUUUGGGGGGACAGGCCAGAAUGAGGUCCUGGGUCAGGAGCCCAGCUGGCUGGGCCCAGCUGCCUAUGUAAGGCCUUCUAGUUUGUUCUGAGACCCCCACCCCACGAACCAAAUCCAAAUAAAGUGACAUUCCCAG
RNAcentral lists this small RNA (2579 nucleotides) under Pan troglodytes (chimpanzee). RNAcentral describes it as "retained intron". Lineage: Eukaryota; Metazoa; Chordata; Mammalia; Primates; Hominidae. The record is from RNAcentral.